This 490-nucleotide ribosomal RNA is filed under the name uncultured bacterium. RNAcentral's name for it is "partial 16S ribosomal RNA". It matches the Rfam family "Bacterial small subunit ribosomal RNA", at positions 30 to 507 of the family's 1533-position model. The record is from RNAcentral.
AUUGAACGCUGGCGGCAGGCCUAACACAUGCAGGUCGAACGGUAACAGGAAGCAGCUUGCUGCUUCGCUGACGAGUGGCGGACGGGUGAGUAAUGUCUGGGAAACUGCCUGAUGGAGGGGGAUAACUACUGGAAACGGUAGCUAAUACCGCAUAACGUCGCAAGACCAAAGAGGGGGACCUUAGGGCCUCUUGCCAUCGGAUGUGCCCAGAUGGGAUUAGCUAGUAGGUGGGGUAACGGCUCACCUAGGCGGCGAUCCCUAGCUGGUCUGAGAGGAUGACCAGCCACACUGGAACUGAGACACGGUCCAGACUCCUACGGGAGGCAGCAGUGGGGAAUAUUGCACAAUGGGCGCAAGCCUGAUGCAGCCAUGCCGCGUGUAUGAAGAAGGCCUUCGGGUUGUAAAGUACUUUCAGCGGGGAGGAAGGGAGUAAAGUUAAUACCUUUGCUCAUUGACGUUACCCGCAGAAGAAGCACCGGCUAACUCCGUG